AAAGAAACCAACAGGGAUUGCCCUAGUAACGGCGAGUGAAGCGGCAACAGCUCAAAUUUGAAAUCUGGCGUCUUUGGCUUUCCGAGUUGUAAUUUGCAGAGGGCGCUUUGGUAUUGGCAGCGAUCCAAGUUCCUUGGAACAGGACGUCACAGAGGGUGAGAAUCCCGUACGUGGUCGCUAGCCUUUUACCGUGUAAAGCCCCUUCGACGAGUCGAGUUGUUUGGGAAUGCAGCUCUAAAUGGGAGGUAAAUUUCUUCUAAAGCUAAAUACUGGCCAGAGACCGAUAGCGCACAAGUAGAGUGAUCGAAAGAUGAAAAGCACUUUGGAAAGAGAGUUAAAAAGCACGUGAAAUUGUUGAAAGGGAAGCGCUUGCAGCCAGACUUGCUUGUAGUUGCUCAUCCGGGUUUUUACCCGGUGCACUCUUCUAUAAGCAGGCCAGCAUCAGUUUGGGCGGUUGGAUAAAGGUCUCUGUCAUGUACCUCUCUUCGGGGAGAACUUAUAGGGGAGACGACAUGCAACCAGCCUGGACUGAGGUCCGCGCAUCUGCUAGGAUGCUGGCGUAAUGGCUGUAAGCGGCCCGUCUUGAAACACGGACCAAGGAGUCUAACAUCUAUGCGAGUGUUUGGGUGUCAAGCCCGAGCGCGUAAUGAAAGUGAACGGAGGUGGGAACCUUUCGGGGUGCACCAUCGACCGAUCCUGAUGUCUUCGGAUGGAUUUGAGUAAGAGCAUAGCUGUUGGGACCCGAAAGAUGGUGAACUAUGCUUGAAUAGGGUGAAGCCAGAGGAAACUCUGGUGGAGGCUCGCAGCGGUUCUGACGUGCAAAUCGAUCGUCAAAUUUGGGCAUAGGGGCGAAAGACUAAU
Molecule: ribosomal RNA, 861 nt
Filed under: Didymella glomerata
Lineage: Eukaryota; Fungi; Ascomycota; Dothideomycetes; Pleosporales; Didymellaceae
Description: LSU rRNA
Rfam family: Eukaryotic large subunit ribosomal RNA
Source: RNAcentral